RNAcentral lists this ribosomal RNA (492 nucleotides) under uncultured bacterium. Its description in RNAcentral is "partial 16S ribosomal RNA". It matches the Rfam family "Bacterial small subunit ribosomal RNA", at positions 29 to 507 of the family's 1533-position model. The record is from RNAcentral.
AGUGAACGCUGGCGGUAGGCCUAACACAUGCAAGUCGAACGGCAGCACAGUAAGAGCUUGCUCUUACGGGUGGCGAGUGGCGAACGGGUGAGGAAUACAUCGGAAUCUACUUUUUCGUGGGGGAUAACGUAGGGAAACUUACGCUAAUACCGCAUACGACCUACGGGUGAAAGCAGGGGAUCUUCGGACCUUGCGCGAUUGAAUGAGCCGAUGUCGGAUUAGCUAGUUGGCGGGGUAAAGGCCCACCAAGGCGACGAUCCGUAGCUGGUCUGAGAGGAUGAUCAGCCACACUGGAACUGAGACACGGUCCAGACUCCUACGGGAGGCAGCAGUGGGGAAUAUUGAACAAUGGGCGCAAGCCUGAUCCAGCCAUACCGCGUGGGUGAAGAAGGCCUUCGGGUUGUAAAGCCCUUUUGUUGGGAAGGAAAAGCAGCAGGUUAAUACCCCGCUGUUCUGACGGUACCCAAAGAAUAAGCACCGGCUAACUUCGUG